RNAcentral lists this ribosomal RNA (231 nucleotides) under uncultured Alicycliphilus sp. RNAcentral describes it as "partial 16S ribosomal RNA". It matches the Rfam family "Bacterial small subunit ribosomal RNA", at positions 548 to 774 of the family's 1533-position model. Lineage: Bacteria; Pseudomonadati; Pseudomonadota; Betaproteobacteria; Burkholderiales; Comamonadaceae. The record is from RNAcentral.
AGAGAUGCAUUGGGCGUAAAGCGUGCGCAGGCGGUUUUGUAAGACAGAGGUGAAAUCCCCGGGCUCAACCUGGGAACUGCCUUUGUGACUGCAAGGCUGGAGUGCGGCAGAGGGGGAUGGAAUUCCGCGUGUAGCAGUGAAAUGCGUAGAUAUGCGGAGGAACACUGAUGGCGAAGGCAAUCCCCUGGGCCUGCACUGACGCUCAUGCACGAAAGCGUGGGGGAGCAAACA